UACGUAGGGACCGAGCGUUGUCCGGAAUCAUUGGGCGUAAAGGGCGUGUAGGCGGCCUUUUAAGUCCUGCGUGAAAUCCUGCGGCUCAACCGCAGACGGUCGUGGGAAACUGGAAGGCUAGAGUGCGGGAGAGGAGAGUGGAAUUCCCGGUGUAGCGGUGAAAUGCGCAGAUAUCGGGAAGAACACCCGUGGCGAAGGCGGCUCUCUGGAACGCAACUGACGCUGAGACGCGAAAGCGUGGGGAGCAAACAGG
Molecule: ribosomal RNA, 253 nt
Filed under: uncultured bacterium
Lineage: Bacteria
Description: partial 16S ribosomal RNA
Rfam family: Bacterial small subunit ribosomal RNA
Source: RNAcentral